UACGUAGGGUGCGAGCGUUAAUCGGAAUUACUGGGCGUAAAGCGUGCGCAGGCGGUUUUGUAAGCCAGAUGUGAAAGCCCCGGGCUUAACCUGGGAAUGGCAUUUGGGACUGCAAGGCUUGAGUGCGGCAGAGGAGACUGGAAUUCCUGGUGUAGCAGUGAAAUGCGUAGAUAUCAGGAGGAAUACCGAUGGCGAAGGCAGGUCUCUGGGCUGACAUUGACGCUCAUGCACGAAAGCGUGGGGAGCAAACAGG
This 253-nucleotide ribosomal RNA is filed under the name uncultured bacterium. Its description in RNAcentral is "partial 16S ribosomal RNA". It matches the Rfam family "Bacterial small subunit ribosomal RNA", at positions 524 to 776 of the family's 1533-position model. The record is from RNAcentral.